Molecule: long non-coding RNA, 286 nt
Organism: Megalobrama amblycephala (Wuchang bream)
Lineage: Eukaryota; Metazoa; Chordata; Actinopteri; Cypriniformes; Xenocyprididae
Exons: 3
Source: RefSeq, a predicted model, not a curated record
UUCUAGCCACCAUUCGACUGUAAAAUGAAGGAGGGAGAUGACUGCAGAGCUACUCCCUCGUGCGCGCGAGCGCGAGCUGUCUUCAAACAGUGCCAGUGACGGUGAGACAAUAUGUGCUUUAGAUACACAAAAAGGCCACUCAAGCAGAUAAUAACUGUAUUGGAAUGAUCCCCUCCUGGUCUUUCUCCUGUUUGCCCAUCAUGGUAUAGGAUUUACCAGCACCGGUCUGGCCAUAUGCAAAAAUACAGACAUUGUAGCCCUCAAAGGCAUGAAGUAACAUCUCCUC